Molecule: ribosomal RNA, 442 nt
Filed under: uncultured bacterium
Lineage: Bacteria
Description: partial 16S ribosomal RNA
Rfam family: Bacterial small subunit ribosomal RNA
Source: RNAcentral
CCUACGGGAGGCAGCAGUGGGGAAUAUUGGGCAAUGGGCGCAAGCCUGACCCAGCCACGCCGCGUGAAGGAAGAAGGCUUUCGGGUUGUAAACCUCUUUUGUCAGGGAAGAGUAGAAGACGGUACCUGACGAAAAAGCCACUGCGAACAACGUGCCAGUAGCCGCAGUAAUACGGAGGAGGCGAGCGUUUACCGGAUUUACUGGGUGUAAAGGGCGUGUUGGCGGGUUGAGAAGUCAGAUGUGAAAUCCUGCGGCUUAACCGCAGAAGUGCGUUUGAAACUGUUGUUCUUGAGUACUGGAGAGGCAGAUGGAAUUCGUGGUGUAGCGGUGAAAUGCGUAGAUAUUAGGAGGAACUCCAGUGGCGAAGGCGGUCUGCUGGACAGCAACUGACGGUGAGGCGCGAAAGCGUGGGGAUCAAACAGGAUUAGAUACCCUAGUAGUC